UUUAAUUUCAUCGCUUCUUCAACUUCCUAUCUUAUCUAUUCUACUUGUUGGUUUCUCCAAAGCACUUUUACCGAAGCUAUUUCUUUAUUUCUUAACUUCUUUACUUGUCGAUCUAGGAUAGAAAUAGGCAUUAUUUCAUAGGUGAGAUCUUCUGUAACUUGUACAUCUUUAGUAGGAAUUAUAUAAGAUGGAUCUCCCAUGCACUU
RNAcentral lists this long non-coding RNA (206 nucleotides) under Capsicum annuum. RNAcentral's name for it is "long non-coding RNA (CANN_LNC021954)". Lineage: Eukaryota; Viridiplantae; Streptophyta; Magnoliopsida; Solanales; Solanaceae. The record is from RNAcentral.